This 258-nucleotide ribosomal RNA is filed under the name uncultured Glomus. RNAcentral describes it as "partial 18S ribosomal RNA". It matches the Rfam family "Eukaryotic small subunit ribosomal RNA", at positions 624 to 886 of the family's 1831-position model. The record is from RNAcentral. Lineage: Eukaryota; Fungi; Glomeromycota; Glomeromycetes; Glomerales; Glomeraceae.
AAGCUCGUAGUUGAAUUUCGGGGUUAGUAGGUUGGUCAUGCCUCUGGUAUGUACUGGUCUCACUGAUUCCUCCUUCCUUAUGAACCGUAAUGCCAUUAAUCUGGUGUUGCGGGGAAUUUGGACUGUUACUUUGAAAAAAUUAGAGUGUUUAAAGCAAGCUAACGCUUGAAUACAUUAGCAUGGAAUAAUGAAAUAGGACGUUCGAUCUUAUUUUGUUGGUUUCUAGGAUUGACGUAAUGAUUAAUAGGGAUAGUUGGG